GAUUUCUGGUUUGACGACAAUCUGGCCCGCCAGGUUCGCCUGUGUGUGUGCCGGGUUGCGUCUGCCAUCCUUCUAAGUUGCUGUUGGCCGCCCUUGAUUGGGUGUUGCUGGUAGUGGCUUAGAUCGUUGACUUUGAACAAAUUAGAGUGUUUCAAGCAGGCUUUAUGCUAUGAAUACAUUAGCAUGGAAUAAUAAUUUAGGACUUCGGUUCUAUUUUGUUGGUUUCUAGGACUGAAGUAAUGAUUGAUAGGGAUAGUUGGGGGUGCUAGUAUUCAGCGGCCAGAGGUGAAAUUCUCGGAUUCGCUGAAGACUAACUUAUGCGAAAGCAUU
Molecule: ribosomal RNA, 330 nt
Filed under: uncultured Sandonidae
Lineage: Eukaryota; Cercozoa; Glissomonadida; Viridiraptoridae
Description: SSU rRNA
Rfam family: Eukaryotic small subunit ribosomal RNA (bases 112-330)
Source: RNAcentral